GCGCGAAACCUUUACAAUGCACGCAAGUGUGAUAAGGGAAUCCCUAGUGCCCAUGUACUGCAUGGGCUUUUGCUAAGUGUAAAUAGCUUGGCGAAUAAGUGGUGGGUAAGACUGGUGCCAGCCGCCGCGGUAACACCAGCGCCACGAGUGGUAACCACGUUUAUUGGGCCUAAAGCGUCCGUAGCCGGUUUGAUAAAUCUUUUGUGAAAUUGUACAGCUUAACUGUACAGCGUGCAAGAGACACUGUCAAACUUGAGACCGGGAGGAGUCAGAAGUAUUCUGGGGGGAGCGGUAAAAUGUUGUAAUCCCCGGAGGACUACCUGUGGCGAAGGCGUCUGACUAGAACGGAUUCGACGGUGAGGAACGAAGGCUGGGGGAGCAAACCGGAUUAGAUACCCGAGUAGUCCCAGCAGUAAACGCUGCGAGCUAGGUGUUGCAUAUUCUCCGUGAGUAUGCAGUGUCGAAGCGAAGGUGAUAAGCUCGCCGCCUGGGAAGUACGGUCGCAAGACUGAGACUUAAAGGAAUUGG
Molecule: ribosomal RNA, 528 nt
Filed under: uncultured euryarchaeote
Lineage: Archaea; Methanobacteriati; Methanobacteriota
Description: bacterial SSU rRNA
Rfam family: Archaeal small subunit ribosomal RNA
Source: RNAcentral